RNAcentral lists this ribosomal RNA (690 nucleotides) under Hebeloma vaccinum. Its description in RNAcentral is "eukaryotic LSU rRNA". The stretch from base 286 to 439 matches the Rfam family "5.8S ribosomal RNA". Lineage: Eukaryota; Fungi; Basidiomycota; Agaricomycetes; Agaricales; Hymenogastraceae. The record is from RNAcentral.
AAGUCGUAACAAGGUUUCCGUAGGUGAACCUGCGGAAGGAUCAUUAUUGAAUGAAUUUGGUGUGGUUGUUGCUGGCCUUCUUGGAGGCAUGUGCACACCUACCAUCCUCAUCUCUCCACCUGUGCACCUCUUGUAGAUUUGGAAUUGAUUAUCCGAGGCAACUCGGUCGUGAGGACUGCUAGCAUUUAGCUGGCUUUCUUUGCAAUUCCAGGUCUAUGUUUUUCAUAUACCCCAUUGUAUGUUAACAGAAUGUAUCAUUGGGCCUUGUGCCUAUAAACCUUAUACAACUUUCAGCAACGGAUCUCUUGGCUCUCGCAUCGAUGAAGAACGCAGCGAAAUGCGAUAAGUAAUGUGAAUUGCAGAAUUCAGUGAAUCAUCGAAUCUUUGAACGCACCUUGCGCUCCUUGGUAUUCCGAGGAGCAUGCCUGUUUGAGUGUCAUUAAAUUCUCAACCAUUAUCAACUUUUGCUGAUAAUGGCUUGGAUGUGGGGGUUAUUUUGCUGGCUUCUCAGAUAGUCAGCUCCCCUUAAAUGCAUUAGCCGGUGCCCCGCGUGGACUGUCUAUUGGUGUGAUAAUUAUCUACGCUAUGGACAUCUGCAAUCAUAUGGGUUUGCACUGCUUCCAACAGUCUGUUAAAGACAAUACAUGACAAUUUGACCUCAAAUCAGGUAGGACUACCCGCUGAACUUAA